RNAcentral lists this ribosomal RNA (252 nucleotides) under uncultured bacterium. Its description in RNAcentral is "partial 16S ribosomal RNA". It matches the Rfam family "Bacterial small subunit ribosomal RNA", at positions 524 to 776 of the family's 1533-position model. The record is from RNAcentral.
UACGAAGGGGGCUAGCGUUGCUCGGAAUCACUGGGCGUAAAGCGCACGUAGGCGGAUUGUUAAGUCAGGGGUGAAAUCCUGGAGCUCAACUCCAGAACUGCCUUUGAUACUGGCGAUCUUGAGUCCGGGAGAGGUGAGUGGAACUCCGAGUGUAGAGGUGAAAUUCGUAGAUAUUCGGAAGAACACCAGUGGCGAAGGCGGCUCACUGGCCCGGUACUGACGCUGAUGUGCGAAAGCGUGGGAGCAAACAGG